Molecule: ribosomal RNA, 195 nt
Filed under: uncultured bacterium
Lineage: Bacteria
Description: partial 16S ribosomal RNA
Rfam family: Bacterial small subunit ribosomal RNA
Source: RNAcentral
CUGAAAUUCGCCUUCAUGAAGCUGGAAUUGCUAGUAAUGGCAGGUCAGCAUACUGCCGUGAAUACGUUCCCGGGCCUUGUACACACCGCCCGUCACACCAUGAGAGUUGGGAAUACCCGAAGCCUGUGAGCUAACUUAUAGAGGCAGCAGUCGAAGGUAGAAUCAAUGAUUGGGGUGAAGUCGUAACAAGGUACC